Molecule: long non-coding RNA, 4366 nt
Organism: Symphalangus syndactylus (siamang)
Lineage: Eukaryota; Metazoa; Chordata; Mammalia; Primates; Hylobatidae
Source: RefSeq, a predicted model, not a curated record
GGGCGGGCGCAGGGGAAGAGCGGACGCGCAGGAAGGGGUCGGGCGGAGGCUGAGACGGUCAUCCAGGAGGUUGGAAAGCUAACCUACCCGUUUCAGAACCGUUAGUAUCUACAAGUCCAGUCAUCUGAUUUCCCUCACGUGCGUUUGAAUUGUGGACGUCUUGCUCUUCCGUCAGGCACAACAAGGCUCAGCCAGUCCUCUCCUGUGUUGACGCAUUUGCUCAAGGCCUUGAGAUCUGGCUCAAAUCAAUCCUUCCUGGACUUUCCUUCCGGGUAGUACAAAUUUGCCAGCCCUCCUCUUGCUGUUGGCGUAACACCAGCAAUCUCUGAGAGUUGUAGAGCUCCCCGUCAUGUCAAGGGUUGGCUUCCCAAACAUCUCCUGUGGUCCUCAAAACAAGCUGGUGAAGUAGGCCUGGUCAUCCCCAUUUUGCAGAUGAGCUGUCUGAGGACCAGAGCAGCAACGUGGAGUGACGUACCCAAGGUUAGACACUCAGCAAGCUCUGCAGCUGGAACUUGAAUCCAGACACCGUAAGAUUGCCCCAGACGCCCGAAGACAUGGAUUUCAGCUGUUUAAUUUGCUAUAUAAAUUAGGAUGAGAGACUGCAGCCCUCGCUGCCAAUGUAAAGAUGGUGCUGACGGAGAGGUGAGGACGCCGCCUACUGGAAUAGUAGAUGGAUGCAUUAUCUUCCUCAGCCUGCUCCUCUGUGACGAGACUGAUCAAUGUAGUGAGUUAGUUAGCAGGGCAAAAGUUCAUACUUCCCAUCACCUAGAGAUCAGUGAGAUCAGAUAAGGAGGGAAAAUCCUCUCCUUGGGCCAUAGAUUGCGACUCUGACUCCAUUGCAAGUUACAAUGGAAAGUCUUUGUCUGUAAUAGAACCACACGUGGAAAAUGUGAUAUACUGUAGCAGCAAACCACUUCCAGGCAAAAUGCAGAUCUCAGAGUCUUGUGCACAGAGAAUACUCAGCUUGCUCACUAAGUAGGUGUUAGAUUGAGACAAUAAAUGAAUGACUGUUCCCUCUGCUUCCAUCAAAUAACCUUUAGCUCAGCUCUGCCUGUCAGUGUGCUGACCACCACAAGAAGAGAGGCAGGGAGUACUGGGAUGGGGCAGGGACCGAUGUAAAUUUUUUAAGCCUCCCUUUGCAAAAGAGCCUGUGUAUGUGCAUUCAGCAGCUGCACCUUUAACUUAAGAGCUUAAGAAAAAAACAUGUUUCUUUUGUUCUACCUUGUUUUACUCUAUUGUCAUUUACUGUGUUAUAGGGUCAGCACCAGUUUGAAAAAAGCAGACCUGUACUGUUCCUAUGGCCAUAUAUUAUGUAUUUAUUCCAGGGGAUCCCCUGCUUGAUACACAAACACACCCUUCUUUAUUCCUGUUUAUGGUUUGAUUGUCUGAUGGUCAGCCUUGGCUGGAGAAAUGAGAUUUUUAUUGUUUUUAAAUUAGGCCUCCUGUCUUCAUUGUACACCUGGCUAAGUAUGAAUUCUGUCCUCUUUGACAGUUUCUUUAAUAAGAUUCACACAUGCAAUUCCUAUCCCUACUAGGAAAACAUUUUAACAUAUUAAUUCUGCAUAAUCACCAGAAGCCAUUACAAUAUAGAUUUAAAAGUUAUUGUUUAGCCUUAGGAAUCAUGAAGUAAGAUAAUAGGUUUGAUUGGCACAGUUUGGUCUUAGAUUUUGUAAUAGGUUGGUAACAAGGAAGAUCAUUUAUUUGGUAUUUAUUUUUGAGAAUGGUGCUUACUCUAUAUGCUGAGAUUUCAAGCAAUGAUCUUGGAACCCUGGUUAGUCACAUCUUCCAUUUCACAGAAAACAGGACAGAAGCAUUAGAAAGAAAGGCAUAAGCUCAGGAAGGGCCCAUCCUAGGAAAAAUCUCAAAGUUCAAGGGUCUUUGACUCUAAUCACACCUCAGUAUUCCAUGACCUUGCCACUUCUAUCCUGUGAAAUCCCAUGCUACUUUCUGUUGGCACAAAUGAGGGCCUCUCAUUGUGAUACAGGUUUUGUACAGCCCUUCCAGUUCCAUACUUCUUCUUCCUUGUUUAAACAACUUUACUGAUGUACUUUUAAUAAGAUUCACCCAAUUGAUGAAUUUUAGUAAAUGUAUACAGUUGUGCAGCCAUAACCACAAUGAAAUUUUAGAACAAAUCCAUCACCCCCUGUGUCCAUUUGCAGUCAGUCCACACCCCCAGCCCUGACCUCAGGCAAGAGAUCUCCUUUGUCGCUAUAACUUUGCAUUUUUUUGAAAAUUAAUAUGAAUAAGGCCAGGCGCCGUGGCUCAUGCCUGUAAUUCCAGCACUUUGGGAGGUCGAGGCAGGUGGAUCACAAGGCUGGUCUCAAACUUCCAACCUGAGGUGGUCCGCCCGCCUCGGGCUUCCAAAGUGCUGGGAUUACAGGUGUGAGCCGCCAUGCUCGGCCAUUUUUGUUCUUAUAUUUAGGUCUGUGUUCCAUCUCCUGUUUAUUUUUAUGCAUGAUGUGAAGUAAGGAUCAAGGUUUAUUGGAGGUUUUUUUUGUUUUGCAUGCAGAUAUUCUAUCAUUUCUGCCAUUGAAUUACACUGACACUUUCAUUGAAAAUUAGUUGAUCAUAUAUGUAUGAGUCUAUUUCUGGACUCUAUUUUGCUCCAUUGAUCUAUAUGUCCAUCAUUACACCAAUAUCACAAUCUUGAUUAUUGCAUCUUUAUAACAAAUAUGGAAAUCAGUUAGUGCCAAUCACCCAGUUUUGUUCUUCUUCAAAAUUGUUUUGUCUAUUUUAAGUUAGGAGUUGAUGCCUGUUUUCGUAAAUAAAGUUUUAUUGACACAUAGCUAUGUCUAUCCAUUUAUGUAUUUUCUCUGGCUGUUUUUGAACUAAAAUGGUAGAGGUCAGGAGUUGCAACAGUUUGUGGACCACAAAGCCUAACAUAUUUGCUAUUUGGCUAUUUAUAGAAAAAGUUCACUGGCCCCUGUUCUAGGUCUUUUCCAUUACCAUAUAAAUUUCAAAAUUAGUUUGCCAAUCUGUGCAAAAUAAGCCUGCUAGGAUUUUUAUACGAAUUAGAUUGAAUCUAUUAAUCAGUUUGAGGAGAAAUGCCAUUUUAACAAUAUCAAGUCUUCCAAUCCAUGAAGUUAGUUAUUUAGGUCUUAUUUCUCUCAGCAAUAUAGUUUUUUGUGGACAAGUCUUGCACAUUUUUGUUUAUUCCUAAAUAUUUUUUCUUUUCGAUACUAUCAUGAAUAAAGUUUUCUUAAUUCCAUCCUCAGAUCACUUGUUGCCAUUAUAUAAAAAUACAAUUGAUUGUACAUUGAUCUUGUAUACUCUGAUUUUCUUAAGCUUGCUUACUAUUCUAGUUUUUGCAGGUUUCUUGGAUUUUUUACAUGCAAUUUCAUGUCAUCUGCACAUAAAAACAAUUUUAGUUUUUCCUUUCCAAUCUGUAUACUUUUUUCUUGCCUAUUGCACUGGCUAUAACCUCCAGUAAACCACUGAAUAGAGUUGUGAGUGCAGACAUCCUUGCCUUGAUUCCCAUCCUGAGGGGAAGCAUUCCUAGUUUUCUAAGUUUUAAUCAUGAAUAGGUGUUGGAUUUUGUCAAAUAUCUUUUCUGUGUCUAUCAACAUAAUCAUAUGGCUUUUUUCCCUUAUUUUAUUAAUAUGAUAUAUUGCAAUGAUUCUCAACUGGAGGUGAUUUUGCUCCUUAUGGGACAUUUGACCAUGUCUGGAGACAUUUUUGAUUGUCAAACUGGGGAGGUGGGUUCUACCAGUAUCUGGUGGGUAGAGGCUGAGGAUUCUGUUCAACAUUCUAAAUGCACAACAAAGGAUUAUCUAACCUAAAAUGUCAGUAGUGCUGAUAUUGAGAAAUAUUUCAUGUGCACAUGAAAACAAUGUUUAUUCUGCUGUUGGGUAGAAUGAUCCCAUAUUUCAAUUAGGUAAAGGUGUGUUAUUCAAGUCAUAGGCUGCAAUCAAGGUGUUAGCUGGGUUCUGGUCAUCUCAAGACCCAGCUGGGGAGGGAGCCAUUUUCAAGUGCACAUGGUUGUUGGCAGGAUUCAGUUCCUGGCAGGUUGUUGAACUGAAGGCCUGAGUUCUUUGCUGGCUGUUAGCAAAAGGCUGGCUUCAGCUCUUUGUCACAUUAGAGGUUCCUUAAUUCUGUUGGCUUUUGUCAUAAAUGUAUCCCCAUCUGCUGGUAGCUCCUCCUCUGGCUUCGUAGCACUGCUAUGGGUUAUUUUGGUUUUUCUAUUUCUUGUCAUUUCAGUAAGAUUGGCGGGGGAUUAUGGGUAAGAAAAGUAAAAGACUAUGUCCAGUGUGUCAUCUUGAACUGAAAUUAAUCUCUCCUUUUUGCACUGCACUUUAAUUUUUUAAAAAAAAUGAGCUGAGAUUGCGCCAUUGCACUCCAGCCUGGGUGACAGAACGAGACUCUGUUC